GGCCCGGCAGCGACCGUCCUCCUUAAAGGGGCCGCGUGCUGACCCGAGCGCUGCCUGAGCAGAGGGGCUCCUAGGGGGUGGUCCUAUGGCCCGCGCCUGACCCACGGAAGUGGAAGGCGGUGUCCCGGGACAUUUAAUUAACUCUCACACAGACCGCGUGGGCCCCCACCCAAGGGUCGGUAGGGACAGCGGGCAGCUGGGCCCUUGCCAAGGAAGGCAUCCCCUCUGGAGUUAAUCAGGGGAUCCUGCUUACAGCGACCACCUAGCCUCUCCACCAAAGCCCAUUUGACUUAGAAACCACCGUCUAAUUCAUUCAGCAGGGGUGAUCAUGCCCACCCAGAAUCGGUAAGGUGAAGCCCCAGCCUCCAGUGUGUCUGGACGUGGAGAUGGCAUCUACAGGGAGAAAUCAAAGAAGAGGUCAUUUGAAUGGACAGAAGGUGGCCGUGGACAAGCCGGGAAGAGAGCGCUUUCACCAGAAACCAGACCCUGUGGGAACUUGAUCUCAGACUGUGGGUGUCCAGAACUGCGAGAAAUAAAUUUCUGUUGUUUAAGACACCUCUUGUGUGC
Long non-coding RNA from Mirounga angustirostris (Northern elephant seal), 567 nucleotides. RefSeq lists it as uncharacterized. The record is from RefSeq and is a predicted model, not a curated record. The transcript is spliced from 3 exons. Lineage: Eukaryota; Metazoa; Chordata; Mammalia; Carnivora; Phocidae.